Long non-coding RNA from Phocoena sinus (vaquita), 1741 nucleotides. Lineage: Eukaryota; Metazoa; Chordata; Mammalia; Artiodactyla; Phocoenidae. The record is from Ensembl.
AUGGAAAGACAUGAAAAAAUUUAUCAGCAUGUUCUUUGUGGUUUCACUCAUAUGUAUAUCCCUGCUUUAAUUAGAGCUGCAUAUUGCUGGAAUAAAAAAAAUUUUCUUUGAAAAUAGUGAAAAGAAACUUUUGCCAUUCCUUUUACCUGCUUAGACUUUUUUUUUUUUUUGCGGUACACGGGCCCCUCACUGUUGUGGCCUCUCCCAUUGCGAGCACAGGCUCCGGAUGCGCAGGCUCAGCGGCCCAUGGCUCACAGGCCCAGCCGCUCUUGCGGCAUGUGGAGUCUUCCCGAACCGGGGCAACAAACCCGUGUCCCCUGCAUCGGCAGGCGGACUCUCAACCACUGCGCCACCAGCAAAGCCCCUGCUUAGACUUUUAUGUGACUUGUAUUAUCUACUGUUUAAAGGGAAUGAGUGUAAAAAAUAUUUGCAUAGAAUUAGGCAUAUUUUUAAUAAUAUUCUUUUAUAUAUAUUUGUGUAAACAUAGUAUUCUUCAGAAAAUAACGUUGAAAGUUCUACUCAGGAGUAAUCUUCCUUAACCCUUUAAAAUUUUUAUUUCAUAUUUUCAUUUUAGUUAUUCAUUAAAAUGUUAGUUUCCUACUGUUGGUAUUAAAUAUUUAACUUUUAAAUGUUGAGGCCACAUUGUGAAUAAUAAAAAACGUUACCUAAUUAGGAGACUAAGAAAGGGUUUGUCGUACAAUCUUUGUGUAUAUGCUUCAAGUUAUUUGACCCAGAAAUGUCAUCCCUAAAAAUUUCGAGUAGUAAUUACUUACCAAACUUAAAAUUUUCUGUAAAUAUAAAUUUUUCUUUAAGACAGAAAAAAAAUAUAUCAUGGCUAGAACUUUGAUCUUUCUCUGCAACUAGAUAGUUUAGUGUGAAAUAGUAUUACUGGGUUUUUUUAUUAUUAUUAUAAAGUCUUUUCAAUCCACAUUGGAAACCAAUUUGUGUUUUUAUUUCUUAAGCUGUCAGUUCUGUCCUACCUGCUUGCAUUUUUUUUUUUAAGUACACAUCAUAGCUUGAGAAUGUACUAGUCAUUUUUCCAAAGUGACCACAUUGUAUUUUUAAUUUGCUUGUUAGAGUAGUUAAGGCUUUGGGUGGCAGUCAUGGAGCCGGACCUUAAAGACAUCUGCAGGAGCUUGCUCAGUAGUGAGGAGCAGAAAGAGUGUUCCAGAAAGAAGAGUGGUCCAGCAGAUGUAGGGGGAGGUGCCACACACAGGUGGGAUUGCAGCCUGUGUUCUAUUAGGACGCUUGUGUGGUGUCUGUGGUCAAGAGUAACUGAGGCUUUUCAUAUGACAGGAAAGGGAUAAUUCAUCAUGAUCCUUUAAAUAAGGUAACUGGGUUGUUUAAUGUUUUAAUUAAUAAUUGUCACUGAUUCUAUUUCUACUUAAUAAGCAAUUAAAAAUUACUUUUAAAUUACUUCAUAAGUUGAAGUUAAGUUAGACACAAGGAGGAGAGGUAGUCUGGAUGUUACAGAAAGUUUUGGGGAAUAUUAUCAAGAGUAAAUGUUUCUAACAUGGACAAUGAUGCUUACCUGUUUGUUUUUAUUCAUUUUUUAUUUUAUUGUGAUUUUUUUCUUGUAAAAAGUUUUUAUUGUGAUUCCUUAUUUUUAUACCUGAAUAACAACUUUUGUCAAAGCAAUGAUGGAUAACAUAUGUUUAUUUUAAAAAGGAUAUGUAGAUAAUGUACUGGUAGUAUGUGGUUGGUGGUAUCAUUGAUUGUCUUAAAUAAAAAUAUCUCGGUU